RNAcentral lists this ribosomal RNA (251 nucleotides) under uncultured prokaryote. RNAcentral describes it as "partial 16S rRNA". It matches the Rfam family "Bacterial small subunit ribosomal RNA", at positions 525 to 775 of the family's 1533-position model. The record is from RNAcentral.
ACGGAGGUUGCGAGCGUUGUUCGGAAUGACUGGGCGUAAAGGGAGCGCAGCCGGUUCGAUUAGUCUGGAGUGAAAGCCCGGGGCUCAACCCCGGAGGGUCUCCGGAUACUGUCGAACUCGAGUACGGAAGAGGAGAGUGGAAUUCCAGGUGUAGCGGUGAAAUGCGUAGAUAUCUGGAGGAACACCGGUGGCGAAAGCGGCUCUCUGGUCCGAUACUGACGGUCAGGCUCGAAAGCGUGGGGAGCAAACGG